RNAcentral lists this ribosomal RNA (516 nucleotides) under uncultured bacterium. RNAcentral's name for it is "bacterial SSU rRNA". It matches the Rfam family "Bacterial small subunit ribosomal RNA", at positions 16 to 518 of the family's 1533-position model. The record is from RNAcentral.
AUUAUGGCUCAGGAUGGAACGCUAGCUACAAGGCUUAACACAUGCAAGUCGAGGGGCAGCAUUGAGAUAGCUUGCUAUUCAGAUGGCGACCGGCGCACGGGUGAGUAACGCGUAUCCAACCUUCCCUAUAGUAGAGAAUAGACCCGGCGAAAGUCGGAUUAAUGCUCUAUGUUCUUCUUUAAUGGCAUCUGAUGAGAAGCAAAGGUUCACCGCUAUAGGAUGGGGAUGCGUCUGAUUAGCUUGUUGGCGGGGUAACGGCCCACCAAGGCGACGAUCAGUAGGGGUUCUGAGAGGAAGGUCCCCCACAUUGGUACUGAGACACGGACCAAACUCCUACGGGAGGCAGCAGUGAGGAAUAUUGGUCAAUGGGCGAGAGCCUGAACCAGCCAAGUAGCCGUGCAGGAUGACUGCCCUAUGGGUUGUAAACUGCUUUUAUAGGGGAAUAAAGUGAGGAACGUGUUCCUUUUUGUAUGUACCCUAUGAAUAAGGACCGGCUAAUUCCGUGCCAGCCGCGGC